Molecule: long non-coding RNA, 224 nt
Organism: Phyllostomus discolor (pale spear-nosed bat)
Lineage: Eukaryota; Metazoa; Chordata; Mammalia; Chiroptera; Phyllostomidae
Exons: 5
Source: RefSeq, a predicted model, not a curated record
AAUGUGACAGCCACACAGUACACAGGCUCACUCAAUGGCAUCUACCACCCCACUGACUAGUACAGUGAAGUUAUCAUUGUUCACACAUGCACAUUCCAGUCCACUCUCCUUGGCUGCAACAUUACAUUGAUGCUGCACAAACCUUUCUUGUUAUACUAACAAUGGCUGGACUUUUUAUGGACUGACCUUCUAUGUGUAUUUUUGCAGGGAGAGAGAGAGGGGUU